RNAcentral lists this ribosomal RNA (1875 nucleotides) under human gut metagenome. RNAcentral describes it as "bacterial LSU rRNA". It matches the Rfam family "Bacterial large subunit ribosomal RNA", at positions 1 to 1977 of the family's 2925-position model. The record is from RNAcentral.
UAAAGCUAGAAAGAGCGCAGGGCGGAUGCCUUGGCAUUGGGAACCGAAGAAGGACGCGGUUAACUGCGAAAAGCUGCGGUGAGUUGUAAGCGAACUAAGACCCGCAGAUAUCCGAAUGGAGCAAUCCACAUGAGAGAAGCUCAUGUAUCAUAUACUGAAUCAAUAGGUAUAUGAGGGGAACCUCCCGAACUGAAACAUCUAAGUAGGGAGAGGAAAAGAAAUCAACCGAGAUUUCGAGAGUAGUGGCGAGCGAAAUCGAAAGAGGCCAAACCGACGGAAGCAAUUCAGUCGGGGUUGCGGACUGCAAAAAGCAAUGUCGAAGCUUAAUAGAACAGGAUGGGAAGCCUGACCGAAGAACGUGAAAGUCGUGUAAAUGAAAAGCAGAGACAGCAGGCAGAAUCCAGAGUACCGCGGGACACGAGAAACCCCGUGGGAAGCAGGGGGGACCACCCUCCAAGCCUAAAUAUUCCCCAAUGACCGAUAGCGAAGAGUACUGUGAAGGAAAGGUGAAAAGAACCCCGGGAGGGGAGUGAAAAAGAACCUGAAACCCUGUGCUUACAAGCACUGAGAGCACGUCAAAGUGUGAUCAGGUACCUUUUGUAGAAUGGUCCGGCGAGUUAUCGUAUGCAGCAAGGUUAAGAACUUAAGGUUUGAAGCCGAAGCGAGAGCAAGUCUGAAAAGGGCGUCAAGUUGCAUGCGAUAGACCCGAAACCGAGUGACCUAGCCAUGUCCAGGCUGAAGUGGAGGUAAAACUCCAUGGAGGGCCGAACCGACCCCCGUUGAAAAGGUGGCGGAUGAGGUGUGGCUAGCGGAGAAAUUCCAAUCGAACUCGGAUAUAGCUGGUUCUCCCCGAAAUAGCUUUAGGGCUAGCGUUGUAUUAGAUUACCGGAGGUAAAGCACUGAAUGGGCUAGGGGCCGAAAGGUUACUGAACCUUAUCAAACUAAGAAUGCCGGAUAAUUGAUGUACAGCAGUCAGACUGUGUGAGAUAAGUCUCACAGUCGAAAGGGAAACAGCCCAGACCCACAGCUAAGGUCCCAAAAUAGAUUUAAGUGGAAAAGGAUGUGGGGUUGCACAGACAACCAGGAUGUUGGCUUAGAAGCAGCCACUCAUUAAAAGAGUGCGUAAUAGCUCACUGGUCGAGUGACCCUGCGCCGAAAAUUCAACGGGGCUAAAAUCUAUACCGAAGCUUGGGCUGCAAUUGAAAGAUUGCGGGGUAGGGGAGCGUCGUAUAAGAGGAGAAGUCAUAGCGGAAGCGAUGGUGGAUUUUAUACGAGUGAGAAUGCCGGAAUGAGUAGCGAGAAUUAUGUGAGAAUCAUAAUGGCCGAAAAUCUAAGGUUUUAGGAGGAAGGUUCGUCCGCUCCUAGUAAGCCGGGAGCUAAGGCGAGGCGGAAACGCGUAGCCGAUGCACAUACGGUAGAAAUUCCGUAGCCUCUGAAAGAUUUAAGCACAAGGACACUUGAGAAGCGUUUAUCCGGGAGUUGGUAUUCCCGGUCGUAAGGGACCCCGAAUGGGGGAAGUAAAUGUGGAUUGAGGCAAGAAAAGUUGUGUGAAUAUCUGAAGAGCCCGUACCGCAAACCGACACAGGUAGAUAGGAAGAGAAUUCUAAGGCCAACGGGAGAAGGGUUGUUAAGGAACUCGGCAAGUUGACUCCGUAACUUAGGGAGAAGGAGUGCUCGAAAGAGCCGCAGAGAAUAGGCCCAAGCGACUGUUUAGCAAAAACACAGCUCUAUGCUAAAUCGAAAGAUGACGUAUAUGGGGUGACACCUGCCCGGUGCUGGAAGGUUAAGAGGAGAAGUGAGAGCUUUGAAUCGAAGCCCCAGUAAACGGCGGCCGUAACUAUAACGGUCCUAAGGUAGCGAAAUUCCUUGUCAGGU